GGGAAAUCAGGUGGACUGGGUAAAACGGACUCGGGCUCAGUCUUCAGCCCCUUUUUUCAGAAACCCGUCGCUCUCCGGCCCCAUUCCCAAAUACCCACGUCCCAACACACCUUCCCCGCCGAGAUCCCGAGGCGACACUAGGUUCCCUCUUCCCCGGAGGGAAGCAGGUAGGAGGGCGGGACUAGGUGGGGAGCCGGCGGCCCCUGGCUCCCUCCACACCGGACUCUCCCGAGCUCCUCCCUGUCCCGGCGAGGGCGCCGGUCGGCGGGUGCUGCCCUUAAGGAGGAAGACGUCCGGCUGCAGAGCAGCGGAAAGAGGGUCUUUGCGGAAAGGGCGCCAGCCCCGGGCGGGGGCGAGCGGCAGACCUCGGGCUGGGAGGAAGGAGCUAGAGAUCUAGGAUUGGUUCUUCGGGCUCUAAUGUCACCAAGUCUGGGAGGGGAGACGGCCGCGGGGGAGGGUUCAGAGCUUGGCUCGGGUCCUGGCCGGUUCCCCCUGGACAGCCGGAGACUUGGGCCGGCCAGACGCCCCUCUGGCACGCUCCCGGGGCAGGCGCUCUCGCACGCCUCGAACGCACACUCCCCGUCCCUCCCUCGCGCACUCACCCGUCUCCCCAGCGCCUGCUCCCGCUUUCUCUCUCUCCCUUCCUAACACACCUCGCUCACUCCCACUCGGGCGGUCUCUUUCGCUCCCACCUGCUCCAAGUCUCGCUCUGCGCACCCCCGGUGGCGCGCCCAGCCCCUGGCGCUCUCGCCUGUCACUAUCGCAGCUUCGCAGCUUCGGCGGGCAGCGCCCCGACUCGCCCUGCUCCUUCUCGCAGAGGCGCGCCUGAUGCCCGGGACCCGCCGCUGAGCCCAGGAGACCAUGGUGGGAGCGCUUGCCCGCCGCGGUACCCACUGAGGCCAUGCCGGCGAGCCAGAGCCCGGCCGGCGCCGGCCAGCGCUUGCUUCUGCUCCUGCUACCGCUGCUGCUGCUGCUGCUGCUCCAGGGCAGCCACGCGGGCAACCUGACCGUGGCCGUGGUGUUGCCGCUGGCCAACACCUCGUACCCGUGGUCGUGGGCGCGCGUGGGGCCCGCGGUGGAGCUGGCUCUGACCCGGGUGAAAGCGCAGCCCGACUUGCUGCCAGGCUGGACAGUCCGCACGGUGCUAGGCAGCAGCGAGAAUGCGCUGGGAGCCUGCUCCGACACGGCUGCGCCCCUGGCCGCAGUGGACCUCAAGUGGGAGCACAACCCCGCCGUGUUCCUGGGCCCCGGCUGCGUGUACGCGGCCGCUCCGGUGGGGCGCUUCACCGCGCACUGGCGGGUGCCCCUGCUGACCGCUGGCGCUCCGGCGCUAGGCUUCGGGGCUAAAGACGAGUACGCGUUGACCACCCGCGCAGGACCCAGCCACGCCAAGCUGGGCGACUUCGUGGCGGCGCUGCAUCGACGGCUGGGCUGGGAGCGCCGGGCGCUGGUGCUCUACGCCUACCGGCCCGGCGACGACCAGCCCUGCUUCUUCGUGGUGGAGGGGCUGUACAUGCGGGUCCGCGACCGCCUCAACAUCACAGUGGACCACCUGGAGUUCGCCGAGGGCGACCACGACCACUACACCAAGCUGCUGCGGACCGUUGGGCGCAAAGGCCGAGGUGAGAGAGGCCCCCCACCCCCAUUUCUCCACCUCGUCCCGCCGCCUGUGACCUUUGACAGCGUGCAGGGCGCUGGCCUUCCUCUCCCUUCCGCUCUGGGCCAGUCUUUUCUCUUCUCGAGGCUCUUCAUUCCUGUCUCAGCCUCCCCCGCUCCCCAACUUCUGGGUUUCUACUUCCCUCUCUUUCCCUGCGCCCCCCUCCCCUUUCACGUUCCUACUCCAUCACCUCCCCCUAUUUCCCUGACUGCCCAGGGUUUACCCCAGGGGGAAAGUGCCUGCUCUCCUUCUACCUAGUAGGUCCUGUCCCCUUUUCCCCCCCGUCUUCCUCUCUUUCUUACUGCCUUCUCCCUCCUCCAUCCUUUCCUCCCAUGGCUCCCACACACCCUCUCACCCAUCCCUCUGCAGCCGGCCCCUCUCUGCCUCCUCCCCUCCUGCCCCACCUGCCCCCCGCCUCGGUUCUCCUUUCCCGCUCUGCCUACCUCUGCUCCUUCCUUCUCCGCCCUCCACACCUCCUCCUCCCACCCUUUUCCAACUUUCUCCUGCCACUGCCUAAACUGAGCCAGUGCCGUUUAACCGCCACCAGGUCCCCUCGUCCUCCCCGUGAGCCCCGGCUUCCCUGCCCUUUCCUUUCCCUGGCUGACUCCUCCUUUCCUUCCAGUCGUCUACAUCUGCAGCUCCCCAGAUGCCUUCAGGACCCUCAUGCUCCUGGCCCUGGACGCUGGCCUCAGUGGGGAAGACUAUGUUUUCUUCCACCUGGAUGUCUUCGGGCAAAGCCUACAAGGGGCACAGGGCCCUGCUCCCCGCAGGCCCUGUGAGAGAGGAGACGGGCGGGAUGUCAGUGCCCGCCUGGCCUUUCAGGUGAGUGCCAGGGUUUGCCCAUGCUGAGGGACUGAGCUGUUGACACUUGGUUUCUGGAUACUGUGUCCCUAAGUAUCUGAAAGGAGGGGGAAAAAAAAAAGGUGUUCUUGGUGCUCCUGAGGGACUUCAGAGCCAGAAGGCUAAAAAGAUAAGACAAUGGGGCUCGAAGAGGGAGUACAUUGAAGUUCCACACGCUGGGCGAAGACUCCAGUCCCUUGCUCAAGAGCAGGGACCACUUCUUGCAGGAAAUAGGGUAUAAUUUGACCUUGACCUUAGCAGAGAGGCUGGCCUGUGAGGUUGGCUCCCUGACAACUGGUGCCAAGGGUACUGGGAGAACAAGAAUCAGCUCCUAGCUCGCUCUCUGACCCCUUCCUCAGGCUGCCAAAAUCAUUACAUAUAAAGAACCGGAUACUCCUGAGUACUUGGAAUUCCUGAAGCAGCUCAAAGUCUUGGCCCGUGAGCAGUUCAACUUCACCAUGGAAGAUGGCCUGGUAGGAGGGGGUCCUGGAACCUUCUAGUGCGGACCUCCAGACUUUGCUUCAUGGCUCUCCUCCAGACUCUCCUCCAGAUGUGUGUUCUUUCACACAUCUCAGUGUUUCCGGGUCUCCCCUUCCCUCCCUUCCCAUUGACUCCUUAUCUCUCUGGAUGAUAGAGGUGACAGUGACAAGUUCAACCCCUAAACCUCAGGUCCUCAUCAGUAAAAUGGGGUUGACCAACCCUGUCCUGUCCGCCCAGUCCCAUACUGUGGGUGUAUUUUAUGUAUCCUGUCUGGGCUCCCAGUGCCUCCUGUCCUCUCGCCAUGGCACCCUGCGCUGUACCCCCCAUCCAUCCCCUUUUCCCCCAGCUGACUUCUCUCUGUCCCUGCAGGAGAACCUCAUCCCUGCAUCCUUCCAUGAUGGGCUUCUGCUCUAUGUCCAGGCAGUGACAGAGACGCUAGCACACGGGGGAACUGUCGCCAAUGGGGAGACCAUCACUCAGAGGAUGUGGAACCGAAGCUUCCCAGGUCAGGGCCUGGGAGUGACUGGAAAGGGCUUUUUAGGGAAGGGGGGGUGAGUACCAUGUGCCCCAGCCUGUAGCCCUGCAACUCAGGUAGCCAUUUGCCCAUUACCAGUCUUUCCCUUUCUUUUAUAAGAACCUCCACAGCUUCUUUCAGGCUCUCCUUCCCUCGUCCCCCAGAUCCAUCCAGUCCUCCCACGUGUCCCAUCUCAGUCCUUCCUGCUGCCAACGCAGCUGUCCUGUUGGCUCUUCUUCUGUGCCUACGUGUGUUUGAAGAUCAGGAGAUGGAGACAUGGAAGUGGGACCUCCCUGCACGGGAAUUUUCUCACAACACAGCUAUGUUGCCCCGGCCCACAGGUGUGACAGGAUACCUGAAAAUUGAUAGCAAUGGAGAUCGUGAGACUGACUUCUCCCUCUGGGAUAUGGACCCUGAGACCGGUGCCUUCAGGGUACGUGUGCACACUCAGAAGACCACCGUGUGUCUCCUCAGGAUGACAUCUCACCCUCCUGCCCUCCCCCACAGCCCUGCCAGGGCAUCUGUUUAUUCUGUGAUCACCCUACCCUGCCUGGACAUCUAUGAAAGCCCUGGACAAAACAGACCCCGUUCCAUUCUGGGGGAGCAACCAGAAUGAUAGGGAUUCGCAUGGGGAACCCCGUGUCUAAGGAGGGAGCACAGCCCUUUCCUUGGGGAGUUCUUAAGGAAAGCAAGACUCCUCGCAGCAGUCAGGUAGACUCUGAGCCAACAGGAAUGCAUACGCACAGCUCACAGCUCGGUAAACACAGUAGAUACUGGCAGGGAUUGAGGCCAGAGGCACCAAGGAUCAAAUCCAGGAAGGCUUCCUGGAAGAAAACUGCACUGAUGAGGCUUGGGAAUGUGGGUUGAGAUGGAUGCUACCUUUCCCUGUUUCUGUGCUUUAAUCGAGGCUAUAAAGUCCUUGCGUGUAGGCGUGGGGUUCUAUAUGCAGCUUUCUUUAUAAAGCCCUUGAGUCAUUUUCAAAUGUUUGCCCCUUAAUUCCAUGGGAACAAGUAUGAGGUCUCCCUGUAGGCGGUCACAGCAGGGGCUUGGUGACCCAGAUACAGGCCCUGGAAGUAUUGAUGAGGAGGUGGGAAGCAGGACUGUGUCACUGGACAGGAGGCCACAUGCCAGGCCCUUGACCAUUCCUGCUCUCCCUUAGGUUGUACUGAACUACAAUGGGACUUCCCAAGAGCUGGUGGCUGUGUCAGGGUGCGAACUAUACUGGCCCCUGGGGUAUCCUCCUCCUGACAUCCCUAAAUGUGGCUUUGACAACGAGGACCCAUCCUGCAACCAAGGUGACUGGCCCUUGCUCUUCGGGCUGCUGUUCUGGAGACACUGCCUCCUCCCAAGGGGAAUCAAGUGGGUGCUCCUCUCCUACCCUUUUCUGGAUUCAGAGCCUCCUCCUGCCUUUUGCUUCCCUUCAUCCACCGCUGUUGACCAUGAUGAAGGGAAGGCCCUUCCUCCUCUGUAGAGCCCAGAUCACUUGCCACACUUGACUCUCUCCUGCAGACCACUUGUCCACCCUGGAGCUCCUGGCCUUGGUAGGCAGCCUCGCCCUGCUUAGCAUCCUGAUCGUCUCCUUCUUUGUAUACAGGUGAGCCGAGCCCAGCCGUGGCCCGGGGGUGGGGGUGGGGUGGGGGGGGUGCGGUGACAUGGGGAGACUUGGAGAGGGAGGUGUAGGGACAAGGGGGGAGGGGAGGGGUGAAGGGACAGCGGGGGAAGGCAGAAGGAGAGAGGGAGAAAAGAAACGAAAAGCCUUAAAACGCCACAGUGCAGUGGCCAUAACUAUAAUCCCGGGGACUCUGGAAACUGAAGCAGGAGGAUCACAAGUUUGAGGUCAGCCCAACAAUUUAGGGAGACCCUGUGCCAAAAUUUAGGGGGAAAAAAGCUGGGCUCAGUGGCACAUGCCUGUAAUCCCAGCAACUUGGGAGGCUGAGGAAGGAGGAUGGCAAGUUCAAAGCCAGCCUCGGCAGCUUAGCAAGGCCUUGUCUCAAAAUAAAAAAAUAAAAAGGGAUGGGGAUGUGGCUCAGUGGUUAAGUGCCCCAGGGUUCAAUUUCUGGUACCAUAAUAACAAUAAUAAUAGUUAAUUUUUUUUAAAGAUUAGGAAUGUAGUUCAGUGGUAGAGCAUCUACCUAGCUUGUGAGAGAGCCUAUGUUUAAUCCUCAGUAUCACAAUAAAUAAUAAAUAGCCUUAGGACACAGAGAAGAAAACAGAGAAUGGAGUGAGAGGAAAGAGGGGACAGGGAUAGAAGUGGCCAGAGAAGAUCAAGGAGAUGCAAGAAGGAGCAGAUAGAUUGAGAAGUGAUGUCAUACCAGAGUGGCUCCUGGCAUGGAACUGGUUUUCCUUGCUCUGGGGACUGGGCCCUGUUAAGGAGCCCUGCUGUGACCAGUGGUGGACCUCGAGUGGAUAAGAGAGAUGAAUGAGCCCCACUCCUGCCUUCCAGUGAGGCUGAAAUGGAAAUCCAGGACACAGGAGAGAAGGGAGGGAGGACAAUCAAUGCUGAUUGAACCUAGUAGACCACGUGUCAGGCACUUCCACACACAAUGUUUCUUUUUAUUCUUGUAACAGUUAAGAAUGAAGCCAGGUGUGGGGGUGCAUGCCUGUAAUCCCAGCAACUCAGAAGGCUCAGACAGGAGGACUGCAAAUUUUAGGCCAACCUGGGGCCAUGUAUUGAGUGAGACCCUGUCUCAAGAUAAAAAAUGAAAAGGGAUCGGGAUGUGGCUCAGUGGUAGAGCAUCCCUGGGUUUAAUACCGUGUGUGUAAAAGGACAUUGACUGUGACUACCCCAAUGUCCCCAGUUGAGGUAGAAUGUCACCAGGCUCUGACCCUCAGCCUGGGAGAUAGAAUUCCCUCAUUCACCUCUUAAUACUUGAAGUAGUCUCGGGGCUCUGAGGAGGGACUCCUGACCACUCCCGACCAGGUCGGGGGAUCAUACAUGAGCUCAGGUGUAGGUUUCACGCCCCAGGAAGAUGCAGCUGGAGAAGGAGCUGGCCUCCGAGCUGUGGCGAGUGCGCUGGGAGGACCUGCAGCCCAGCAGCCUGGAGAGGCACCUCCGAAGCGCGGGCAGCCGGCUGACCUUGAGCGGGGUGAGAAUGCUGGUGUCUGAGGGGGCUGGGGGGUGUCACUGGUGUUCGCGAGGGGGCCCUGGGUACCCAGAGCAGUAGGGUAGAAAACAGGGCUCCACGCCCACCUCUGCCUUCCUUUGCUUCAUGACCUUGAGCAAGGCCAUUGCCUCUCUGAACUGGGCUCAUGGUGAUUGCAUCUCUAGAGCCUCCCUCCAGGGGCUCUUGGAAAGAUCAAAGGAGGCAGUAUAUGGGACAACACAAACAUAAAACCAGUAAGCGAGGGGAGGUUUCAUGAUGUGGAACAUCAAGGAGGGUGACACAAAGCUAAGGAAGGGUAGGAAAGACCAGAGCACAAGCACCCAGGGGCAUCCGGGCCUCUAGGCUGAACCCCUGUUCUUCACCCCUUCAGAGAGGCUCCAAUUACGGCUCCCUGCUAACCACAGAGGGCCAGUUCCAGGUGUUUGCCAAGACAGCGUACUACAAGGUGGGCCUGGGGAGACUUCUGGUCCUGGGUACUGUGGAAGUGUGCUCUGUGGCAGAGGGUGCCAGGGUGGGCUGUCAAGGGGCAGUUGGAGAUCCUCAGGGGAGUGGGGUGCCAUUGGGAGCAGCUGGGGGUCUUGGAGGGCGGCGUGAGCUGUCGGGAGCAGGUGGAGGUGCCAGGGCACCAGGUCAUGCUCCACACAGUGACAGUCUCCAUUCCUUUCUCAGGGCAACCUGGUGGCUGUGAAACAUGUGAAUCGUAAACGCAUUGAGCUGACAAGAAACGUCCUGUUUGAACUGAAGCAUGUAAUGUGGGGGUGUGAGGCGGUGGCCUGGGGAAGAGUCCCCUGCCGGGAGAUGGCCAACUGAGCUGUCUGUGGAGGUUUUGGUUUUCAGAGUGUCCUAGGAAAGCUAGGGUCUGUGAACCUGGGAUGGGCCCUUGCAUCCUGGGGAUGGGAUUAGGGGACCCAUCAUGAGAAGAGAGAUGAGAUCUCUGGAGAUACCCUGGAGGAAGACCCUUGAGGGACCUUACAUGGUGACCUGGGGAAUAAAAGGCAAGGAGGCAGAGGGUGUAGGAAGCAGAUUGUGGGGGAGAAGGGCCCAGUGGACAGGUUUGCAAACAAUGAAUAGGGAGUUAAGGGGGAGGGUCCCUGAGGCCAGAGAGCAAUCUGGUGAGGAGUGAGGUCUCUGUGAUGCUCCUGAUGCUGCUUCUCACCUGCAGAUGCGGGAUGUACAGAAUGAACACCUGACCAGGUUUGUGGGUGCCUGCACUGACC
This 7812-nucleotide long non-coding RNA is filed under the name Marmota monax (woodchuck). Lineage: Eukaryota; Metazoa; Chordata; Mammalia; Rodentia; Sciuridae. The record is from RNAcentral.